UGGGGAAUCUUGCACAAUGGAGGAAACUCUGAUGCAGCGACGCCGCGUGAGACGAUGAAGCCCUUCGGGGUGUAAAGCUCUUUCGACGGGAACGAUAAUGACGGUACCCGAAGAAGAAGCUGCGGCUAACUACGUGCCAGCAGCCGCGGUAAUACGUAGGCAGCAAGCGUUGUUCGGGAAAUUUACUGGGCGUAAAAGAGUGUGUAGGCGGUGCUCUAAAGUCUGUUGUGAAAAUCUCCCGGCUUAACUGGGAGGGGUGCGGCGGGAAAACUGGAGUGCUUGAGUGUGGGAGAGGUAAGCGGAAUUCCUGGUGUAGCGGUGAAAAUGCGUAGAUAUCAGGAGGAACACCUGUGGUUGUUAGACAGCUUACUGGACCACGACUGACGCUGAGACACGAAAAGCGUGGGUAGCAAAAACA
RNAcentral lists this ribosomal RNA (418 nucleotides) under uncultured bacterium. Its description in RNAcentral is "bacterial SSU rRNA". It matches the Rfam family "Bacterial small subunit ribosomal RNA", at positions 355 to 776 of the family's 1533-position model. The record is from RNAcentral.